UUGUGCAAAAUGUACCAGCUGUAAAUGUCUUGUGUCUAAUCAGGUGGACUGUUUCAUCCUCUGAGUUCGGGUCCUCUACCAGAAGCCUGGGAGCCGCAGUAUCUGGCACAUUUCUGGACUGAGGUGUCUGAUGUUGUUCCUGGGAUCUGUUUUAGACACUGCUCCAGUUUGGGUGUGACUGCCUCGAGGGCCCCUGCGCUCCUCGGCCCUGUAGACGCAGGGUGAAUCCUCCCAACCGAGAGUACCGGACGCCAGCUGACGGUGUAGACCCGCCGAUUUCUGCCAGGAUCGGUUUGGUAAAUGCCAGGUCGCUGACAAAUAAAACUUUCGUCAUUAGGGAUUU
This is a long non-coding RNA of Poecilia latipinna (sailfin molly), 343 nucleotides long. RefSeq lists it as uncharacterized. Lineage: Eukaryota; Metazoa; Chordata; Actinopteri; Cyprinodontiformes; Poeciliidae. The record is from RefSeq and is a predicted model, not a curated record. The transcript has 2 exons.